CAGUGCAGGAAGGGAGGGCUAUGUGCGUAAAUAUUCCGUCAACAAGGGAUCCAUUGGGAUUGGCUUCACACGGUACCGUUUCAUCUUGUUUAUAAAGAAAAAAAAACCUAAAUUACUAACAAAGGAGAAAAGACAGAAGCGUUCUAAUUUUUCCUUCUUCAUUCGGCCAAUCUCCAUAGCCCCUUAUUCUCAUAUUCUUGCUUCAAUUUGAGCAGUGGUGCAGGGGAGCCAUGGAGAACCUCGAGGACUCUGUCUUCAAUUUCGAAACACCGUCCCUACUUUGAUUGCGACGAAGAAGACGGGUCUCGACUACUAAGCCUGUUGCAGAUAUGAAUGGAGCUAGCUGGAUGAUGGCGCACGUGGGGCUGGCACGGAGGCAGCAGCGGUGUUGGAGGCUACUGAAAGUUGCUGCGGCGCAAGUGACCUAGGUUUUCUGCCGAAAAUUUCAUUGGUGUUUUGGGCUUGGGAUAUUUUGGGCUGUUUGGGUUAGUUGGGUUAGGUUUAGGUUUGGGCUUGUAAUGGGUAUUGGAUCUCAAUGUUUGUAAAAGGGACAUUGGAUUUAUUUUUGUUGUUUUAUUUUAUUUUUGGUUUUAGUUUUGGUGUAGGCCCGGGCACAAAUUGGGUCUUACAUCGACCUCUCUAAAACCUCGAGAUUUGAUUAACACCUACACACAAAAUUAAACAAA
Molecule: long non-coding RNA, 686 nt
Organism: Gossypium arboreum
Lineage: Eukaryota; Viridiplantae; Streptophyta; Magnoliopsida; Malvales; Malvaceae
Exons: 2
Source: RefSeq, a predicted model, not a curated record